Molecule: long non-coding RNA, 1206 nt
Filed under: Canis lupus familiaris (dog)
Lineage: Eukaryota; Metazoa; Chordata; Mammalia; Carnivora; Canidae
Description: lncRNA (ENSCAFG00040005398.1)
Source: RNAcentral
AAUCCCAAAAUCCUAAGUGUCUCUAAGUGGCAGCAGGUGCUGGCAACGCUGGGACCCGACCGAGGCAGAGAGGACAAGCCGUUCCUCGCAAACGGAGGACCAGAAACGGCGCUGGCAAAGCCUCCCGAGGGCGUGGAGCAUCCCUCGGUGGCAGGCGGGGCAGAGGGAGACCAGCUCCGCAGAGCGCCCGGUGCGCGCGGGAUUCGCGAUCCCGUCUCCUCAACGCUUCGGACCGCGGGUCUCGCACAUCUGCCCCCCCCCCCCCGCGCCUCCCCGACAGUCUCGCUCUUCCCCCCUUCCCCUCGCAACCCGCCCCCCUCCAGCCCCGCGCGGGGUGGCCGCACGGCGAGCCCGGCCGCCGAGGACGCGGCUCCUCGCAGCAUCCCUGCGCACUCGGCAGGCGGCCCCACCGGGACGCCGGCCGCGGCAUCGCACAACCCACCGGAACUUCCCACAGGCGCCAAUUCUAAAUUCGCCGGACCGGCCGCCGCUGCCAGCGCCGCCUCCGCGCCCGGGGGCUCGCUCCCCUCCGUCCGUCGCAGCCCCCCUCCCUCCCUCAGGGGCCCCCGCGUCCAGCGCGGCGGGAAAACGCCGCCAGGUGCCUCCCGGCCCCGGGGGGCUCCCGUGGGACCUCCGCGCCCGCACAGCCCCCGCCCCCUUCGGCCAACGCCGAGGCAGCGCGCCCGUCGCCACACUCACCCGCCCGAGCCGGCGCGGCCAUCUUUGCGCUCACGCCGGGCCCCGCGCCCCCCGGUUCGGCGGCGGCGGCGGCGGCGGCGGCGGCGGCGGCGGCGGCGGCCCGGCCGAGCGGCUACGUCAGCAGUGACGCAGCCCCGCCCCGCCCCCCGCGCCUCGGGAGCGCCCGGGCUGCAGCCUCGCUCCACAGCCUCGCUCCACAGCCUCUCGCUCCACAGCCUCUCGCUCCACAGCCUCUCGCUCCACAGCCUCUCGCUCCACAGCCUCUCGCUCCACAGCCUCUCGCUCCACAGCCUCGCUCGGCGGCUGCCCCCGGGGGCGCUGGGAGCCGGGCUUCCCUCCCGAGGCCGGCUUGGCACCUGUCCUCAGGCCGCGGCCCGGGGCGGCGUCGCCAGCGUGCACCGCGAGUCCGGAGACGCGGCACAGCCCACGGAGUUUCUGCGACUCAGGCCGCGGCGGACUGUUUGGCAGAGACGCGCGCCAGUUCGGUUGUCUUCAAAAAAAAAAUAA